This 497-nucleotide ribosomal RNA is filed under the name uncultured bacterium. Its description in RNAcentral is "partial 16S ribosomal RNA". It matches the Rfam family "Bacterial small subunit ribosomal RNA", at positions 28 to 507 of the family's 1533-position model. The record is from RNAcentral.
GAUGAACGCUGGCGGCGUGCCUAAUACAUGCAAGUCGAGCGAACAGACGAGGAGCUUGCUCCUCUGACGUUAGCGGCGGACGGGUGAGUAACACGUGGAUAACCUACCUAUAAGACUGGGAUAACUUCGGGAAACCGGAGCUAAUACCGGAUAAUAUAUUGAACCGCAUGGUUCAAUAGUGAAAGACGGUUUUGCUGUCACUUAUAGAUGGAUCCGCGCCGCAUUAGCUAGUUGGUAAGGUAACGGCUUACCAAGGCAACGAUGCGUAGCCGACCUGAGAGGGUGAUCGGCCACACUGGAACUGAGACACGGUCCAGGGUCCUACGGGAGGCAGCAGUAGGGAAUCGUCCGCAAUGGGCGAAAGCCUGACGGAGCAACGCCGCGUGGGUGAUGAAGGUCUUCGGAUCGUAAAACUCUGUUAUUAGGGAAGAACAAAUGUGUAAGUAACUAUGCACGUCUUGACGGUACCUAAUCAGAAAGCCACGGCUAACUACGUG